Lytechinus pictus (painted urchin) is the source of this 1289-nucleotide long non-coding RNA. RefSeq lists it as uncharacterized. Lineage: Eukaryota; Metazoa; Echinodermata; Echinoidea; Temnopleuroida; Toxopneustidae. The record is from RefSeq and is a predicted model, not a curated record. The transcript is spliced from 3 exons.
CUUACGUAUAAGCUCCCGAAGGGAGCUAGAGAGGGAACUCUUUCCGCGCGUUUUUAUUUCCCAUAGGUUUUGUACAUAGCCAACAUGGCUGCCGGCGGACAAUUUGAAGGAUGAUUUUGGAGGGUCAAUGUUUUAUUCAUGAGAAUGACGUCAAAAUACGCAUAAUGCACUUGUAUGAUUGGAUUAAACGCUAAUGUUUUAUUCAUGUACUCAUGCAUUAAACAUUUUUUUCCGUCCCACAAUUCCCUACGAUAUCUGUGCGAAGUGUCGUUCUUUUGGACUCUGCGAAUUUGAAGUUUCUGAAACGAAAUAGCUAGACUAAUUAUCUGUUUAUAGAAUUGAUGUUCGAAAUCAUGGUUUCUGAGUGAACUUCAUUGGAGCGGAAAAUCUUGGAGGGAACAUCAAUACUAUUCUAAUGACAUUCCAUAGGAAUAAAAAUCCAAUGGGACCAAGUUCUUAGCAGCUCACACCUAGUCAGAAGUACAAAAUUGAGAACCAUGCCGAUCAGCAAGUGUUAGUUACAAUCUAAUGAGGAACAGGAUAUCUGCAUGGAAAAAUUGCAAGGUUUCCCACUUCCUAAGCUGUUUAAGUACUGGUAUCACAACAUAAGUGCCAAGAAGAGAUAUGAAACGGUCUCAAAAUUUUUGCUGGUGCCCCCCUCGAUGCCGUGACCCACGGUACGCCACUGCAAGUCUUCAUAAAUUAUGUAGGGUUAUUAAGUUGCAUUUAUUGUUAUCUUCAUUUUAAAAAAAUGUGAAAUGGGUUACCACUGCAAUAAUAUAUAAAUAGACUAUAUUUCAAAAAAAGAUUGAAUUCUAACCACAGUGACAGUAGACAAAUCAAAUUUUGUUAAUGAUUCGCUAAUGUAUUGAUUGGGGAAGGCACUCUUUAGGAUUCUGGCAUUGUGUCCCACCCCCCCCCCCCCCCCUUAUGAGGAGUGCUCUCACAUCAGUAGACUAUUUCUUGUCAGCAAAUUUGAAAGGAAUUUACCAAUUUUUUUGAGUGGCAAACUUUUGUGGAAGAAAAUAAACGAAUAUCAAAGGUUUUUAUGCUCUUUUAUGGAAUAUUAACUAUAGGCUCAUCGAGAUCCUUUGAAUGAAAUUUUAACAAACAUUGUGCAAUGUAGAAAAAUGUACUUAAUCCUAUUUUUGUACAUUUAUAUACCCACCCCCACUAGCGUACCUACGGGGGGGGCAGGGGGGCACUCUGCCCCCCCCUGACGAGUCACAACCCAUGCAAAAACGUAUAUUUGCCCCCCCUGACGGGCUUGAAAAACCUUUUUUGCCCCC